Molecule: ribosomal RNA, 253 nt
Filed under: uncultured bacterium
Lineage: Bacteria
Description: partial 16S ribosomal RNA
Rfam family: Bacterial small subunit ribosomal RNA
Source: RNAcentral
UACGAAGGGGGCUAGCGUUGUUCGGAAUUACUGGGCGUAAAGCGCACGUAGGCGGGUUUGUAAGUAGGGGGUGAAAUCCCCGGGCUCAACCCGGGAACUGCCUUCUAGACUGCAAGCCUGGAGGUCAGGAGAGGCGAGUGGAAUUCCGAGUGUAGAGGUGAAAUUCGUAGAUAUUCGGAGGAACACCAGUGGCGAAGGCGACUCGCUGGACUGAUACUGACGCUGAGGUGCGAAAGCGUGGGGAGCAAACAGG